This 263-nucleotide ribosomal RNA is filed under the name uncultured Nocardioides sp. RNAcentral's name for it is "partial 16S ribosomal RNA". It matches the Rfam family "Bacterial small subunit ribosomal RNA", at positions 219 to 494 of the family's 1533-position model. Lineage: Bacteria; Bacillati; Actinomycetota; Actinomycetes; Propionibacteriales; Nocardioidaceae. The record is from RNAcentral.
CUUGUGAUGAGCUCCCGGCCUAUCAGCUUGUUGGUGAGGUAAUGGCUCACCAAGGCUUCGACGGGUAGCCGGCCUGAGAGGGUGACCGGCCACACUGGGACUGAGACACGGCCCAGACUCCUACGGGAGGCAGCAGUGGGGAAUAUUGGACAAUGGGCGGAAGCCUGAUCCAGCAACGCCGCGUGAGGGAUGACGGCCUUCGGGUUGUAAACCUCUUUCAGUACCGACGAAGCGAGAGUGACGGUAGUACGAGAGCACGCAUC